GAGUUUGAUCCUGGCUCAGAUUGAACGCUGGCGGAAUGCUUUACACAUGCAAGUCGAACGGCAGCACGGGGCAACCUGGUGGCGAGUGGCGAACGGGUGAGUAAUAUAUCGGAACGUGCCCAAUCGUGGGGGAUAACGUAGCGAAAGUUACGCUAACACCGCAUACGAUCUACGGAUGAAAGCGGGGGAUCGCAAGACCUCGCGCGAAUGGAGCGGCCGAUAUCAGAUUAGGUAGUUGGUGGGGUAAAGGCUCACCAAGCCAACGGUCUGUAGCUGGUCUGAGAGGACGACCAGCCACACUGGAACUGAGACACGGUCCAGACUCCUACGGGAGGCAGCAGUGGGGAAUUUUGGACAAUGGGCGCAAGCCUGAUCCAGCCAUUCCGCGUGCAGGAUGAAGACCUUCGGGUUGUAAACUGCUUUUGUACGGAACGAAACGGUCUGCCCUAAUACGGCAGGCUAAUGACGGUACCGUAAGAAUAAGCACCGGCUAACUACGUG
This 501-nucleotide ribosomal RNA is filed under the name uncultured bacterium. RNAcentral's name for it is "bacterial SSU rRNA". It matches the Rfam family "Bacterial small subunit ribosomal RNA", at positions 9 to 507 of the family's 1533-position model. The record is from RNAcentral.